RNAcentral lists this unclassified non-coding RNA (400 nucleotides) under soil metagenome. Its description in RNAcentral is "partial contains 5.8S ribosomal RNA, internal transcribed spacer 2, and large subunit ribosomal RNA". The stretch from base 1 to 122 matches the Rfam family "5.8S ribosomal RNA", at positions 35 to 154 of the family's 154-position model. The record is from RNAcentral.
GAUGAAGAACGCAGCGAAAUGCGAUACUUGGUGUGAAUUGCAGAAUCCCGUGAACCAUCGAGUCUUUGAACGCAAGUUGCGCCUCAAGCCAUUAGGUUGAGGGCACGUCUGCCUGGGCGUCACAUAUCGUUGCCUGAUGCCAGUUUCCUCGUGAUGGGUGACUGUGCAGGGCGAAUGAUGGCUUCCCGUGAGCAUUGUUGCCUCAUGGUUGGUUGAAAAUUGAGUCCUUGGUAGGGAGCGCCGUGAUAGAUGGUGGUUGAGUGACGAACGAGACCCAAUCAUGUGAGACCCCUACCGAAUUUGGCCUUCAUGACCCACAUGCGUCUUUGGAACGCUCAUGACGAGACCUCAGGUCAGGCGGGGCUACCCGCUGAGUUUAAGCAUAUCAAUAAGCGGAGGA